Molecule: ribosomal RNA, 1034 nt
Filed under: Candidatus Moeniiplasma glomeromycotorum
Lineage: Bacteria; Bacillati; Mycoplasmatota; Mollicutes; Mycoplasmatales; Mycoplasmataceae
Description: bacterial SSU rRNA
Rfam family: Bacterial small subunit ribosomal RNA
Source: RNAcentral
UGCUUAUCUUACCUACCGUUUAGUGGGGGAUAAAAUACCGCAUAUUCUGGUUUCGACCAGGAAAGGACUUCGGUUCGCUAAAUGAUGGGGAUAAGUCGUAUCAGUUAGUUGGUAGGGUAAAGGCCUACCAAGACAAUGACGCGUAGCCGGGCUGAGAGGCUGAUCGGCCACAAGGGAACUGAGACACGGUUCCUACUCCUACGGGAGGCAGCAAUGAUGAAUCGUCGGCAAUGGGGGCAACCCUGACCGCGCAAUGCUACGUGAAGGAGGAAGGUCUACGGAUUGUAAACUUCUUUACUAGAGGGUACUGACGCAAGAAUUACCCUUUAGCAAAAAGUCACGACUAACUAUGUGCCAGCAGUCGCGGUAAGACAUAGGUGGCAAACGUUAUCCGGAAUUAUUGGGCGUAAAGGGUGCGUAGAUGGUAUGAUAAGUUAGCGGUGGGAAAUCGAGGCUCAACCUCGUGGAAGCUGGUAAUACUAUCGUGCUAGAGUGUAGGAGAGGUUAACGGAACUCCCCGUGGAGCGGUGAAAUGCAUAGAUAUGGGGAAGAACACCAAUAACGGCGAAGGCAGUUAACUAUUCUACUACUGACAUUGAGGCACGAAAGCGUGGGGAGCAAAAAGGAUUAGAUACCCUUGUAGUCCACGCCCUAAACGAUGAGUACUAGAUAUUGGGAACUUGAUUCUCAGUGUCGCUGGUAACCCGGUAAGUACUCCGCCUGGGUAGUACGGUCGCAAGGCUGAAACUCAAAGGAAUUGACGGGGACUCGCACAAGCAGUGGAGCAUGUGGUUUAAUCCGAUACGACGCGUAGAACCUUACCAAGGCUUGACAUGUUCGGCAAAGUUGCUGAAAGGCAAUGGAGGUUAUCCGAACACAGGUGCUGCAUGGCCGUCGUCAGUUCGUGCCGUGAGGUGUAUGGUUAAGUCCUAUAACGAACGCAACCCUUGGGCUUAGUUACCAGCAUUCAGUUGGGGACUCUAAGCCGACUGCCCGAGUAAUCGGGAGGAAGGAAAGGAUGACGUCUGGUCAUC